GCAGAAAACUCAGAAUACCAUUGUUCAGUCCUCUCAAAAGCUGGAAAUAAAACAUCAAAAGUGUUCAUCACAGUGGAAGGAAAAGAUAGUACCGGUCAGGCUGGAUGGGUAAAGGAGUAUGACAGCUGGAAAAGUGCAGUCAGUGAACAUCAUGCAAUGAUGCAAAGCUGGAAGACGACCUGGGAGAGUUGCAAGAAGAAAGACACCCCCUAAUGGACAGAGACAGGAGUAAGAGUUGGCUGACACAGAAGUGUCUGUAAAAUGAGGCUUCUGGUACUCUGAAAAAGGAUUCAGCAGAUACGGUAGCUGGCAGUGGGGGUUUGCUGUUCAGGAGAAUCUACUGAAAAUUUAGGCAAAACAGGAUUUCUCAUUGCACUGAUUUAUCUACUACUACCACCAAGACAACUCCUCUACCCCCUUUGAACAACCUGAUACCAGUUCUUUUUCUGCUAGUUAUUGAGGAACAAAGUGUUCCUACUGAGACUUGUGGUGCUCAAAACAUUGUAAUGCAACCCCUAAAUCUUGAGGUAACUUUGAUUGUGAUGCUCUUAUAACAUGUGAAUUUAUUAAAGCAGUGGGGAUUUAACAAGGAU
Molecule: long non-coding RNA, 593 nt
Filed under: Chelydra serpentina (North American snapping turtle)
Lineage: Eukaryota; Metazoa; Chordata; Testudines; Chelydridae
Description: lncRNA (ENSCSRG00000006711.1)
Source: RNAcentral